CCUACGGGUGACAGCAGUGAGGAAUAUUGGUCAAUGGGCGCGAGCCUGAACCAGCCAAGUCGCGUGAGGGAAGACGGUCCUAUGGAUUGUAAACCUCUUUUGUCAGGGAGCAAAGCGCGCCACGUGUGGCGCUUUGCGCGGUCCUCACGGAAAAGCAUCGGCUAACUCCGUGCCAGCAGCCGCGGUAAUACGGAGGAUGCGAGCGUUAUCCGGGUUUAUUGGGUUUAAAGGGGGCGCAGGCGGAAUUUCAAGUCAGCGGUAAAAUUUCGGGGCUCAACCCCGGCGGGCCGUUGAAACUGGGGUUCUUGAGUGAGCGAGAAGUAGGCGGAAUGCGUGGUGUAGCGGUGAAAUGCAUAGAUAUCACGCAGAACUCCGAUUGCGAAGGCAGCAGACCGGCGCGCAACUGACGCUCAGGCACGAAAGCGUGGGGAUCGAACAGGAUUAGAUACCCUUGUAGUC
This 459-nucleotide ribosomal RNA is filed under the name uncultured bacterium. RNAcentral describes it as "partial 16S ribosomal RNA". It matches the Rfam family "Bacterial small subunit ribosomal RNA", at positions 338 to 795 of the family's 1533-position model. The record is from RNAcentral.